UGACUCAGUGGUAGAGUGCUUGCCUGGCAUGCAUGAGGCCCUGGGUUCGAUUCCUCAG
Molecule: transfer RNA, 58 nt
Filed under: Dipodomys ordii (Ord's kangaroo rat)
Lineage: Eukaryota; Metazoa; Chordata; Mammalia; Rodentia; Heteromyidae
Rfam family: tRNA
About the family: Transfer RNA (tRNA) molecules are approximately 80 nucleotides in length. Their secondary structure includes four short double-helical elements and three loops (D, anti-codon, and T loops).
Source: Rfam by way of RNAcentral